This 465-nucleotide ribosomal RNA is filed under the name Vreelandella stevensii. Its description in RNAcentral is "partial 16S ribosomal RNA". It matches the Rfam family "Bacterial small subunit ribosomal RNA", at positions 338 to 795 of the family's 1533-position model. Lineage: Bacteria; Pseudomonadati; Pseudomonadota; Gammaproteobacteria; Oceanospirillales; Halomonadaceae. The record is from RNAcentral.
CCUACGGGUGGCAGCAGUGGGGAAUAUUGGACAAUGGGGGCAACCCUGAUCCAGCCAUGCCGCGUGUGUGAAGAAGGCCCUCGGGUUGUAAAGCACUUUCAGUGAGGAAGAACGCCUGGUGGUUAAUACCCAUCAGGAAAGACAUCACUCACAGAAGAAGCACCGGCUAACUCCGUGCCAGCAGCCGCGGUAAUACGGAGGGUGCGAGCGUUAAUCGGAAUUACUGGGCGUAAAGCGCGCGUAGGUGGCUUGAUAAGCCGGUUGUGAAAGCCCCGGGCUCAACCUGGGAACGGCAUCCGGAACUGUCAAGCUAGAGUGCAGGAGAGGAAGGUAGAAUUCCCGGUGUAGCGGUGAAAUGCGUAGAGAUCGGGAGGAAUACCAGUGGCGAAGGCGGCCUUCUGGACUGACACUGACACUGAGGUGCGAAAGCGUGGGUAGCAAACAGGAUUAGAUACCCUUAUAGUC